This 391-nucleotide unclassified non-coding RNA is filed under the name uncultured fungus. Its description in RNAcentral is "sequence contains ITS2". The record is from RNAcentral. Lineage: Eukaryota; Fungi.
AACGCAAAUUGCGCUUUCGGGAUAGUCCUGAAAGCACGCCUCUUUGAGUAUCGAUUCAACCAACGCUCUACGGCGUGCUUAAUUGUGCGUGCAGUAGGAGCUGAACUGAGUUUCAUACUUGCAAAAGUAUGUGACUUUAAGCAACGACAGACGUUCCUGGCUGCUUUGAAAGCACUAAGUUUGAACCUGUCGGCCAAAAGCAAUGCGGUUAAUUUGUCCUUCGGGGUGAAUACGACAUGCGUUUGUUUGAAGCUGACCUCUGGUAAAAAGGAGAAAAGGGUAUGAGCUGAAGCUAUCGAGGUGCUAAGAGCAACUUACUUCAGUCUUUGGACUAGUAAACUCAAUUUUCGAUUUAGAUCUCAAAUGAAGCGAGAAAACCCGCCGAACUUAA